UACAAAGGUCCCAAGCGUUGUUCGGAUUCACUGGGCGUAAAGGGUGCGUAGGUGGUGAGGUAAGUCGGAUGUGAAAUCUCCAAGCUCAACUUGGAAACUGCAUUGGAAACUACCUUGCUAGAGGAUUUGAGGGGGGAUUGGAAUACUUGGUGUAGCAGUGAAAUGCGUAGAUAUCAAGUGGAACACCAGUGGCGAAGCCGAAUCCCUGGAAAAUACCUGACACUGAGACACGAAAGCUAGGGGAGCAAACAAG
This 253-nucleotide ribosomal RNA is filed under the name uncultured bacterium. RNAcentral describes it as "partial 16S ribosomal RNA". It matches the Rfam family "Bacterial small subunit ribosomal RNA", at positions 524 to 776 of the family's 1533-position model. The record is from RNAcentral.